GUGUAUCUUCUGCACUGACCUGUUGGAAGCACUGCAGCUGCUUGGCAUUUUAGAAGGUUCAGAAAAGAUCCACUGAAGCAGAGGGAAUUUGCUCAAGGUCAUUGUUUCCUGGCGAAUGUUGUGCCUUAAUGGCAUUCAGGGCAGCACUGGUGGGAAGGAGCAAAUGAGCCCAGCUGGGACCACCAGCUCUGAGGGUUUUGGGCCCCCACAGCAAAGCCUGGAUCAGCUCAAAACACCUGUCAAGGACAUACCUGAAGAGAGAGAAGUUUAAGCAGUGCUGGCAGACAAGCUUUCCUUUACCAUCCAAGUGAUGUGCCAAAGAGAUGUGACACUGGCAGGAGUGUCUCUGGAAGACCAGCAGAGCCAGGGACUCUGCACUGCACUGGCAAGGUCA
Molecule: long non-coding RNA, 394 nt
Organism: Manacus vitellinus (golden-collared manakin)
Lineage: Eukaryota; Metazoa; Chordata; Aves; Passeriformes; Pipridae
Exons: 3
Source: RefSeq, a predicted model, not a curated record